UGUGAGAGGGGGCUUGCCCCCGAUAGCGCCAUGUCAGUCACAGCAUCGUUGACUGACACCCCCCAUCGGGGGCAAGCCCCCUCCCACA
This 88-nucleotide unclassified non-coding RNA is filed under the name Pseudomonas extremorientalis. Lineage: Bacteria; Pseudomonadati; Pseudomonadota; Gammaproteobacteria; Pseudomonadales; Pseudomonadaceae. The record is from RNAcentral.